RNAcentral lists this ribosomal RNA (468 nucleotides) under uncultured bacterium. RNAcentral describes it as "partial 16S ribosomal RNA". It matches the Rfam family "Bacterial small subunit ribosomal RNA", at positions 28 to 507 of the family's 1533-position model. The record is from RNAcentral.
GACGAACGCUGGCGGCGUGCUUAACACAUGCAAGUCGAACGGAAAGGCCCUGCUUUUGUGGGGUGCUCGAGUGGCGAACGGGUGAGUAACACGUGAGUAACCUGCCCUGUAGUUUGGGAUAACUUUAGGAAACUAUGGCUAAUACCGGAUAGGAGCACCUGUUGCAUGGCGAGGGUUGGAAAGUUUCGGCGGCUGGGGAUGGACUCGCGGCUGAUCAGCUUGUUGGUGGGGUAGGGGCAUCGCAAGGCCUUGACGGGUAGCCGGCCUGGGAGGGUGACCGGCCACAUAGGGACUGAGGUACGGGCCAGACUCCUACGGGAGGCAGCAGUGGGGGAUAUUGCGCGAUGGGCGGAAGCCUGAUGCAGCGACGCCGCGUGCGGGAUGACGGCCUUCGGGUUGUAAACCGCUUUCGCCUGUGACGAAGCGUGAGUGACGGUAAUGGGUAAGGAAGCACCGGCUAACUACGUG